AUGAUGUAUUAGUAUAAUAAAGUAAGCUUAUAAUAUUUUUAUAUUUCGAAAUAUCAAAAAAAAAGCUAAAAUAUUUUAAAUAAAAAAACAUUAAUAUAUCUUUAAAAAAAAAAUCUAAAGUCAAAAUUCAGAAUAUAUAAAAAAUAAAUUAAAAGUAGAGAAAAUAGAUUAAUAAAUUUAUAUUAAAUAUUCAUAUAUAUAUGUAUAUAUUCAAUUUAUAUGCCCAACAUA
This 231-nucleotide transfer RNA is filed under the name Pneumocystis jirovecii. RNAcentral's name for it is "tRNA-Pseudo(TAT)". The record is from RNAcentral. Lineage: Eukaryota; Fungi; Ascomycota; Pneumocystomycetes; Pneumocystales; Pneumocystaceae.